This 253-nucleotide ribosomal RNA is filed under the name uncultured bacterium. RNAcentral's name for it is "partial 16S ribosomal RNA". It matches the Rfam family "Bacterial small subunit ribosomal RNA", at positions 524 to 776 of the family's 1533-position model. The record is from RNAcentral.
UACGGAGGAUUCGAGCGUUAUCCGGAUUUAUUGGGUUUAAAGGGUGCGUAGGCUGUCGGAUAAGUUAGAGGUCAAAUGUCGGGGCUUAACCCCGUGCCUGCCUCUGAUACUGUUCGACUGGAGAGCGGAUGCAGCAGGCGGAAUGAGUAGUGUAGCGGUGAAAUGCAUAGAUAUCACGCAGAACUCCGAUCGCGAAGGCAGCCUACCGGCGCGCUACUGACGCUCAUGCACGAAAGCGUGGGUAUCGAACAGG